RNAcentral lists this ribosomal RNA (229 nucleotides) under uncultured bacterium. RNAcentral describes it as "partial 16S ribosomal RNA". It matches the Rfam family "Bacterial small subunit ribosomal RNA", at positions 568 to 796 of the family's 1533-position model. The record is from RNAcentral.
UGCGCAGGUGGGGAUGUAAGUCAGUGGUGAAAUGUUGCCGCUCAACGGUAAAAUUGCCAUUGAUACUGCAUCUCUUGAGUAUGGUUGAGGUAGGCGGAAUGUGUUGUGUAGCGGUGAAAUGCAUAGAUAUGACACAGAACACCGAUUGCGAAGGCAGCUUACUAGGCCAUUACUGACGCUGAGGCACGAAAGCGUGGGGAGCGAACAGGAUUAGAUACCCUGGUAGUCC